This 253-nucleotide ribosomal RNA is filed under the name uncultured prokaryote. RNAcentral's name for it is "partial 16S ribosomal RNA". It matches the Rfam family "Bacterial small subunit ribosomal RNA", at positions 524 to 776 of the family's 1533-position model. The record is from RNAcentral.
AACGUAGGUACCGAGCGUUAUCCGGAUUUACUGGGCGUAAAGCGCGUUCAGGCGGUUUGGCAAGUCGGGCAUGAAAUCCUUCGGCUCAACCGGGGGAGGUUGUCCGAUACUGUCAGACUGGAGGGCAGUAGAGGGUGGUGGAAUUCCGGGUGUAGUGGUGAAAUGCGUAGAGAUCCGGAGGAACACCAGUGGCGAAAGCGGCCACCUGGACUGCACCUGACGCUGAAACGCGAAAGCUAGGGGAGCGAACGGG